This 338-nucleotide long non-coding RNA is filed under the name Elaeis guineensis (African oil palm). Its description in RNAcentral is "long non-coding RNA (EGUI_LNC042517)". Lineage: Eukaryota; Viridiplantae; Streptophyta; Magnoliopsida; Arecales; Arecaceae. The record is from RNAcentral.
AGCCGGAUUCCUUAUGCAAUCGGGCCUCUCCAGCAGACAAAUCUUCAGACAAGCUUCUACAUCAUACAAAUUUCAGACGAACUUCUACGAUGGAUAGGCUCCACCAGAUCUCUACUCCGAACUUCUUUCGGACUUUGUCGAUGACCGAGCUUCUCCAACAGUGGGACUUCUACAAUAAGAAGUCUCUAUCCGAGCUUCCACGAUAACUGAUCUUCGAUCGAGCUUCUACAAUAAGCGACCUCCUUUCGGACUCCUACGAGAGCUGGACUCCAUCCAAACUUCUGCUACAGAAUCGUAUCCCAGACUCCUCCAACGUUCGACCUUCCAUAGUAUCCUCA